AGUGAACGCUGGCGGCGUGCUUAACACAUGCAAGUCGAACGAGAACGGGUUAUAGCUUGCUAUAAUUGUCAGCUAAGUGGCGCACGGGUGAGUAAUGUAUAGGUAAUAUGCCUCUUACUAAGGGAUAACAAAUGGAAACGUUUGCUAAUACCUUAUACUCCUUAUUAACAGAAGUUAAUAAGGGAAAGAUUUAUUGGUAAGAGAUUAGCCUGUAUUGUAUCAGUUAGUUGGUGGGGUAAUGGCUUACCAAGACUAUGACACAUAACUGGUUUGAGAGGAUGAUCAGUCACACUGGAACUGAGACACGGUCCAGACUCCUACGGGAGGCAGCAGUGGGGAAUAUUGCACAAUGGACGAAAGUCUGAUGCAGCAACGCCGCGUGGAGGAUGACACAUUUCGGUGCGUAAACUCCUUUUAUAUGAGAAGAUAAUGACGGUAUUAUAUGAAUAAGCACCGGCUAACUCCGUGCCAGCCGCCGCGGUAA
This 484-nucleotide ribosomal RNA is filed under the name uncultured bacterium. RNAcentral's name for it is "partial 16S ribosomal RNA". It matches the Rfam family "Bacterial small subunit ribosomal RNA", at positions 29 to 523 of the family's 1533-position model. The record is from RNAcentral.